CACCGGCGGCUCGAGUGGUGGCCACUUUUAUUGGGUCUAAAGCGUCCGUAGCCGGCUUGGCAAGUCCCCUGGGAAAUCUGGCGGCUUAACCGUCAGGCGUCCAGAGGAUACUGCCAGGCUUGGGACCGGGAGAGGUGAGAGGUACCUCAGGGGUAGGGGUGAAAUCUUGUGAUCCCUGAGGGACCACCAGUGGCGAAGGCGCUCGGCUGGAACGGGUCCGACGGUGAGGGACGAAGGCCAUGGGAGCGAACCGG
RNAcentral lists this ribosomal RNA (254 nucleotides) under uncultured microorganism. RNAcentral describes it as "partial 16S ribosomal RNA". It matches the Rfam family "Archaeal small subunit ribosomal RNA", at positions 474 to 727 of the family's 1478-position model. The record is from RNAcentral.